UAAGGAAUAUUGGUCAAUGGACGCAAGUCUGAACCAGCCAUGCCGCGUGAAGGAUGAAGGUCCUCUGGAUUGUAAACUUCUUUUAUCUGGGACGAAAACGGGAUUUUUAUCUCAAUUGACGGUACCAGAGGAAUAAGCACCGGCUAACUCCGUGCCAGCAGCCGCGGUAAUACGGAGGGUGCGAGCGUUAUCCGGAUUUACUGGGUUUAAAGGGUGCGUAGGUGGGCUUAUAAGUCAGUGGUGAAAUCUCCGAGCUUAACUUGGAAACUGCCGUUGAUACUAUAGGUCUUGAAUUAUCUGGAGGUAAGCGGAAUAUGUCAUGUAGCGGUGAAAUGCUUAGAUAUGACAUAGAACACCAAUUACGAAGGCAGCUUACUACAUAUAAAUUGACGCUGAGGCACGAAAGCGUGGGGAUCAAACA
RNAcentral lists this ribosomal RNA (421 nucleotides) under uncultured bacterium. RNAcentral's name for it is "bacterial SSU rRNA". It matches the Rfam family "Bacterial small subunit ribosomal RNA", at positions 355 to 774 of the family's 1533-position model. The record is from RNAcentral.